UCGGAAUCGCUAGUAAUCGCAGAUCAGCAAAGCUGCGGUGAAUACGUUCCCGGGCCUUGUACACACCGCCCGUCACACCACGGGAGUCGGUCGCGCCUGAAGCCGGUGGCCUAUCAGUAAUGGGGGAGCCGUCUAUGGCGAGAUUGGUAACUGGGGUGAAGUCGUAACAAGGUAAC
This 176-nucleotide ribosomal RNA is filed under the name uncultured bacterium. RNAcentral describes it as "partial 16S ribosomal RNA". It matches the Rfam family "Bacterial small subunit ribosomal RNA", at positions 1326 to 1500 of the family's 1533-position model. The record is from RNAcentral.